Long non-coding RNA from Cavia porcellus (domestic guinea pig), 1231 nucleotides. RefSeq lists it as uncharacterized. The transcript is spliced from 3 exons. The record is from RefSeq and is a predicted model, not a curated record. Lineage: Eukaryota; Metazoa; Chordata; Mammalia; Rodentia; Caviidae.
UUUGAAUCAUUUUAACUUCCGGGGCUUGGUUUUCAUUUCCAUGAGGCUGUACCAAACCUGUGAUUUUUCUGUCUGCAUCACAAAGGCUGAAUUUGGUAUCCUUAUUUUAGGUCUAACUGAUCUGGCUGUGCUUUAAAAAACACAAAACAGGAAGAAAAGAGCUGAAGAUGGGGAAAAGAAAGGAGUGUUUUCAGAUUUGAAACAUCUGCCCUCCAGCCCACGCCACUCCACCCACCCAGGAGAGGACACAAGUCAUCCCUUCUUAGAGAUUCGGCAUUGGCCACCAGUCUGGAGAUCGAGGAUGGAGCCAAUGGAUGGAGUCCAAAAUCUAAAGGCCACCUACUCCAGAGCUCUGUCCAGCUUGAAGAAGUCAAAUGGUGCAAACUCACAGCUGCCUGAGAAUCCAGGGGUUGGAGAGGGAAGGCAAGAGGAUGAGCCGCUGAAUGGAGCCAAGAAGCAGAGCAGAGACUCAGCCCCUGACCCUUCUGCAGCGAUGGCUGCUAAUCCCUGGCUGGCAUCUCAGUUGGCUGGAGAUGGCCACGGGAAGCCACCAGGAGUUCUGACAACGCAGUGACAUUCCUGCCAUCACAGCUAAAGAUAGAUUAAACAGGUCUCAUAAACCGGAUUGUGAAUGAGCCAAGUUAAUUCUCAACAGGAGCCUUCACAGAGCCAGCAGGUUUAACUCUGCAAAGACAGUAAGCAGCAAGUCUUCUCCACUGAGACACAAAAGGAGGGGAUGAACCAGUCUGCAGUGGGAAGAGCCGAAUUUGUCACACGGGAAAAGACAAUGGCAGCAAGGGAAUGUUAGAUACAGGGUUACUGUACCACCUCAGAAUGUUUUCAGUUAUAAGUAACUUAAAAAUCUAUGGUGGCUGAAGCUAUAAUACAUUUUGCAUUUUUGGGUUUUUUAGCAUGUAGUAAGUGUACAUAAUUGUGGGGUACAUUGUGAUUGUUUAACACAUGCAUACAGCACGGUCAGGGUAAUGGGCAUGUCCACCUCCUUGACAUUUCCUUAUGUUGGGAGGCUUUGCGCUCCUCUUUUCCAGACCUUUACGAAGUACAUCAUUGGCAAUUGUGGUGGACACCUGUAAUCCCAGCUCUCAGGAGGCCGAAGCAGGAGGAUGGCAAGUUGAAUCUAAACUAUAUGGCAAGACUUUGUCUCAAGAAAGUAAAUAACAAAAGUGAAACCAGAUAUAUUUCAGUCUUUGCUUUUUCUUUUUUUCUUAGCAAC